This 2296-nucleotide long non-coding RNA is filed under the name Drosophila guanche. The record is from RNAcentral. Lineage: Eukaryota; Metazoa; Arthropoda; Insecta; Diptera; Drosophilidae.
UGUGGGCUGGGUUUUGCCAAUUGCGAUCCCUAGACAAAACACCAAAACGAGCAAGGGCGAAUUCGCAUCACUGCGAAUUCCAAACAAGAGAGCAAACGCAAAGAGAAGACGAAGGAGAGCGAGAUGAGAGCGAGAGCGGACAACCGCUCGGCGAGAGAGCGCCGAGGGGAGUUUCUAUCCAACCUCCGACGUAAAAGGUUGUGUGCGAGACCAGACGACGAACGACGCAGAUAUCUAAUUCUUGUACCGUUAUACCAUACUUAAUCACUUAUUAACCUUUACUUAUAAACAAUAAACAUAAACCCCCACAUUUUUGGAGGCUCGUCCCUGGGAUUUGAAGUAAGAUUUAAAGAAGGCUCCACAUUUUUGGAGGCUCGUCCCGUGGAUUGAAGUAAGAUUUAAAGAAGGCCCCACAUUUUUUGAGGCUCGUACGUGUGUGAAGGAACAUCGUGUGAAGAAUAAGUGAAAAACUAUAAGUAACUGUACGACGACGACGGCGGUGCAAGAAACGUUAUUUCUGAAAACGACGCGGAUAUUAACAAGUUUAAAAAAGCAGAGUAAUCUAAAUAGACGAUUUUUUUUUUAUCUCAGCAAAAUGACGUGUUUAAACGAGUUAAUUCCGAAAAGCCUACGAGGAGCAACGAAAUCCAGCAUUUGUGCAUUACACAAAUUUGUGUAUGAGAGAGAAGGAGACAGAGGUAACCGAGGCCGGCUGCGCGAAUUUAGUGGAUUCGAAUACGACGAAAACGACGCCAGAUUUUAAGCGAAGCGCACAUACAUACAAGCGGAGCUGACGGACCGUGAUCUUGUUUCAGUAUGUGUGAUAUUGAGUUUAAAUCAAAAUGCAGAAAAUUUGAUGCUACACAUAUUUCGCAAUCUGAUGAAAGGCAAGCUGUUGACAAGCAACAACAACGACGACGAAAACGACGAAGACGACGACAAUGAUGAAGAGAAUGAUGAAGACGCAAACGAUGAAGACGAAAACGAAGAUCAAGAGAACGACGUGUUUCGCAGUGUUUGCGAGAUACGCACGUGUGAGGGAGACAACUAUAGCAACAUGCACACAAGACGACAAGAAAAUAGACGCCGAAGCAACGUACAAAGGGAAAACUACGAUGAGCAGGUCGCACCCCGAUUUGCUAUAAGUUUUCGCGAUAUUGAGGAGUCUAUCCGAAUGUUUGACGGCUCUGACCAGAUAGCUGUCGAAGAAUGGAUAGCAGAGUUUGAAGAGCAGGCUGAGUUCAUGCGUUGGACUAAUUUACAGAAACUUAUUUUUGCGAAGAAGUCUUUGAAAGGCAUUGCCAAAUUAUUUGUUUUAAGCGAAAAACAUUUGAACUCAUGGGAAACAUUGAAGUUUGCGCUGUUGAAUGAGUUUCAGUCGAAGGUAAAUAGCAAACAGAUACACAUGCAACUCAACGAGAGUAAACGACGACCGAAAGAGAAUGUUCUGGAAUAUUUUUAUCGCAUGAGAGAUAUUGCUGCAAGAGGAAAUGUCGAAGACGACGCACUUAUGCAAUACGUGAUUGACGGUGUCGACGAGAUGGCAUUAAAUAAAUCUAUUUUAUAUGGUGCGAAAAAGAUGUCUGAUUUUAAGGACAAAUUAAAAGAUUAUGAGAAAAUAAACGAGAAAAUAAAAAAGAGUGAGAAGACGGGAAGAGAUAAGAAGAUGUCGGUUGGACAAAAUUAUACCCAGACUGGCAAAAAAGACGUCGUGUGUUACAACUGCGGAGAGAAGGGUCAUGUGUCUAGCAGUUGCUCGAGCAAAGAGAAGGGAAAAAAGUGCUUCAAGUGCAAUCAGUUUGGGCACAUUUCAAAGAAUUGCAAGGAGAAAAGUGAGAAGGCAAACGAAGAAAAACAAAACUUGCGUGUAAUUUUGAAUAGAGCGGAAUUGACAUCCAAAGAAGUUUCGAUUAAAAAUAUGAAAUGUAUGGCACUAUUUGACACUGGCAGUAAAUUCAAUAUUUUGCGCGAAGACUUUUACGACGAACUGUGUAUGCCAAAAUUAAAGAACUGCAGAGUGCGCUUGGUCGGUUUCGGAAGUGAAAGCAAGGCUGACAAUAUCAAGCCGAUUGGUCAAGUAGAACAUAGCAUACGUAUUGACGACGAAGAAUAUGUUUUGACAUUUUAUGUUGUUGCUGCUAAGUUCAUGGAUAUUAAGCUGAUAAUCGGGGAAGAGCUUUGUUUGCACGCAGAAGUAUCAUUUAAUCGCCAUGGAGUAAAAGUUAAUAAAAUGCCAAAUGAAAAUAACGAAGAUGCGUAUGACGAAGCGUCCAUAAUGAAAAUCGACGUAGCGGUG